RNAcentral lists this ribosomal RNA (460 nucleotides) under uncultured bacterium. RNAcentral describes it as "partial 16S ribosomal RNA". It matches the Rfam family "Bacterial small subunit ribosomal RNA", at positions 338 to 795 of the family's 1533-position model. The record is from RNAcentral.
CCUACGGGGGGCAGCAGUGAGGAAUAUUGGUCAAUGGGCUUACGCCUGAACCAGCCAUGCCGCGUGCAGGAAGACGGCUCUAUGAGUUGUAAACUGCUUUUGUACGAGGGUAAACGCAGAUACGCGUAUCUGUCUGAAAGUAUCGUACGAAUAAGGAUCGGCUAACUCCGUGCCAGCAGCCGCGGUAAUACGGAGGAUUCAAGCGUUAUCCGGAUUUAUUGGGUUUAAAGGGUGCGUAGGGGGUCGGAUAAGUUAGAGGUGAAAUCCCGAGGCUCAACUUCGGAAUUGCCUCUGAUACUGGUCGGCUAGAGAGUAGUGGCGGUAGGCGGAAUGUAUGGUGGAGCGGUGAAAUGCUUAGAGAUGAUACAGAACACCGAUUGCGAAGGCAGCUUACCAAGCUACUUCUGACGUUGAGGCACGAAAGCGUGGGGAGCAAACAGGAUUAGAUACCCCUGUAGUC